Molecule: non-coding RNA, 148 nt
Filed under: Homo sapiens (human)
Lineage: Eukaryota; Metazoa; Chordata; Mammalia; Primates; Hominidae
Source: Rfam by way of RNAcentral
GCCAGGUGCAGUGGUGCACACCUGUAGUCCCAGCUACCCAGGAGGCUAAGGCAGGAGGAUUGCUUGAGCCCAGGAGGUCAAGGCUACAGUGACCUAUGAUCACGUCACUGCACUCCAGCCUGGGCAACAGAGCAAGAACCUGUCUCUA